CUGAGUGAGGGCCCUCUGGGUCCAACCUCCCACCCGUGUUUAUUGCACCUUGUUGCUUCGGUGCGCCCGCCUCACGGCCGGCCGGGGGCUUCUCGCCCCCGGGUCCGCGCGCACCGGAGACACUAUUGAACUCUGUCUGAAGAUUGCAGUCUGAGCAAUAAACUAAAUAAGUUA
Molecule: unclassified non-coding RNA, 174 nt
Filed under: uncultured Penicillium
Lineage: Eukaryota; Fungi; Ascomycota; Eurotiomycetes; Eurotiales; Aspergillaceae
Description: sequence contains ITS1
Source: RNAcentral